GAGGAGUUUUCCUCGCUGUUGUUGAGUGCAGACAUGAUUCUCUGUACUGAUGUAAGAGGCAGAAAUAAAUGAUGUAAAUAGUUUUCUGUCUGCUUCUUUCCCCUCCCUGGGGACACCAAAGGGAGAGAGGAAGAACGGUGUGUUCCUCUCAUACAUCUGAGAAGAAUCGCCGGACCUCGCCUGCUUAUCAGCAGAGGUUGGGAGACGCGGGGAGGUCGACAGGAAUAUCUGCCGGUGCCUACGCUUGUGGCACAUUCCUCUGACCCAGGCAGAAUUCCAACAGUGGCAGCCUUCGGAUGGUUGCGAUUCAUCAGACAUCUGCAUGAGAGGCUGGUGGAUUGUCCUCCUCUGCUCCAAGGAGGAAGAGAAGCGUCUGAGAACAGCCAGAGGCUCCACAGACCGCUGGUGGAAAGAAGAGGUGUUUUCCAGAGCAACAAAGUUCAAGGUAUGCUGCAUUUCGGGCUAAAAGUGUGAACGCAGGAAGAUUAAUUCCCUGGUUCACGGAGCUGCGUUUCAGAGAAAACAAAAGCUCCGGGAGAAGAGGCCUGCAGCUUGAAGGCUGAAGCCUGCAUUCCACAAAUUUUUGUGGUAGAUAAGAUGUCUUACUGAAAUGCAUUGUUGCUAGGUAACGGAAAGUUACUGGCAAAGGGGCUGGACUAUGAGUGUGAGCCUGGGAAAGCGAAACAAAACCAGAGAAUGUUUUGGCUACAAGGUUUACGAGCUCUUGGAAGGGACUUUUCAAUAGCAGCCUGAGUUUAGCUGCCAGGUGCAAAGAGCGUAAACAAUUUGCAGUUUGCUGCGUGAGAAAGGAAAAAAACAACUGUUGGAUUUUACAGUUUGUUUGAGAGUGUGGGCUGGAAAGCUGAAGAGGCUUGGCUUCAAGAUGGAUGCCAAGAAAGGAGCUUUGCCUUGCCCUCCUUCCUUAACCAAUGCAAAUUAUUCAUCUUGGUCUGUAAAGAUGAAGGCCCUGCUGCAGAAUCAGAGGCUUUUUGAUGUAAUUGAAAACCCCAUCCCUGCAGCACCAACCAGAGGUUGGGAGUCACAGAAUGUAAGGGCCAGGACUGCUAUAAUUCUGUGUGUCUCAGAUGAUCAGUUGGUGCAUGUUCAGCAUUUAGAAAAUGCGAAAGAGGUGUGGGACACGCUGCGUACAACGCAUCAGAGAGAUGCUGGUUCUUCAGCGUUGCUGUAUUUUGAGAAAUUGACCAAUCUGAGACUUGCGCCUGAUGGAGAUGUUCAAGCGCACCUCACAGAAAUGAAGUUUCUGCGUCAACAGAUGGUGGAACGCAAUUUUCGUCUUCAGGAGGAAGUGUUUUGCUUCAUGAUGAUAAACAGCCUUAGCCGCACCUACAAGGUUGUUGCCAGUCAGCUUGGUUCCCUACCGGCCGCGCAGCUGACCGCGGAGAGAGUUUGUGCUGUGGUCCUGAAUGAACACGACAGACUUGCUGCACUGGAAGAAAAAGACAGGGGGAGGGAAGAACAGAGUUCUAAUCCCCCACUGCUGAUGCUACUGGGGAGCAUGGUGUAGCAUUGAGUGCUGUCCGAUGCUACAAUUGUGGACAGACUGGGCAUCUACAGCGAAACUGUAAGAAGCCGCGCCAGUCAAGAGGAGCAAAGAGCAGCUCUACGAAGCCUCAGGCGUCAGGCAAAAGCCGUACCAAGUGCCAGAUGAAACCUGCAAAGGCUAUGAUGGCGAAAGGAACCACGCCAGAUGUUGGGAACGCGUUCAUAAUCGACACGGGCUGUACAAAACAUUUGUGCCCGCACAGAGGACUGUUUUCGACGUUGAAGAAGCAAAGCUUCACUGUGAAACAGGCCAACGGUCAGGAGUUGGAAGCAACUGGAAUUGGGACUGUGUAUCUUGAGAGUCUGAACUUGACUAUAAAUGAUGUUUACCUGGUUCCAGAACUGAGAUUUAAUCUGCUGAGCGUGUCGCAGAUUGCAAAGAAAGGACUGAAACUGUCCUAUGAUGCUAAAAGCUGCAAGAUCUACAAAGAUGGAGAACUGUUUCUUACUGCCAAAGAGAAAGAUGGACUGUAUUUGUUGACUUUUGAUCAAAGUGAUUACAUGAAAUGUAAUUCCUCUGUUUCUAACGAAAUCUCUCUUGCAGGUGUGACCAGUGUGAAGACGAAGAAGGUCAACAGAGCAUUUCAGCGGGUGUAUGCUGAUGUGAUUGGUCCUCUAGAACCAUCUAGAGGCGGUGCACGAUUUUACCUUUUGUGUGUGGAUUGUUUCACUAAUUAUUCUUGGGUUUAUAUGAUGGAGAAACCGCAAGAAACUUUAGAAAAGUUUCAGGAGUUUUGUGACAAGGUUAAAAGUAUGCAUGAUGCUAACAUUGAUUGUCUUUUCACAGAUGAGAAGCAAGUUUUUCUGUUACAGAAGUUUCAGAAGUUCCUGGAUGGAAAAGGGAUAGACCACAAAGUGGCAGUCUCGCAAGAAGCGUGGAACAGGGGGGUCUGUGUAAAAGUGAACAAAGAAUUGCAAAAGGGGAUGAAUGCGCAAUUGCUGAGUUCACAUUUGCCACAUGAAUAUUGGGCUGAGUCGCUAGCGUCCUAUCUUCAUGUGUGGCUGAGAAAGGUCUCAACAGAGUUGGGAUGUUCUCCUUUUGAGAAGCUGUUCAAUAGAAAACCUUCUGUUGCCUAUUUUAAGGUUUUCGGGUCUCAUGUGAGAACAGAAGCUCCAGGUGGUGUAAAGAAUGCCAGAGGCAUUUUUGUGGGUUAUGAAAAGGGUCUCUACAGAGUAAUUUUGUCUGAAUCUGGUCAGGUGAUUCUCACAAAGUUCCUAGAGAGUGCUCCAAAGCAAGAGCGGAUAGUACAAACAUUUCCCACAGGUGGCGAUUAUGAUGAUGAUGAUGAUGAGUUUGAUCUUAUUGAGUUCAGUAGUACUGAUGAUGACAGCGAUAGCUCAGACAGCUCAGUUGUCACAGUCAUUGAGAGGAAAUCUCACAUAAUGACUAGACCCUCAGAAGAGGAGGAUGAACCAUUGCUUAAGCUUAGUACUGGUUCUCCAGAGAGUUCAAAGGUUGAACCAGUGAGCACAGAGGAUCAGAACCUUUUACGUAGGUCUGAGAGAGCAACGAAGGGUGUACCACCCAAGAGGUAUUCAAAGGAGUUUGCUAACCUUGCAUAUGUUGCUAUUGUAAACGACCAAGGACAGAUUGAAGCUGUGUCUGAGUCAGAGACAAAGGCACAACAGAGAGUUGUUAACCAAGGUAAUGCGAAGUCACACAACCAGAGAGGUACAUUGGUUAAACCAGUGGCGGGUAGUUCCAAGGGUGGAACUGAAACAACAGGGAAUGUUAUAAAUAUAACAACUGUUUGUUUUCUUCUCUGGAUGACGCUUUGCUCGCAGCACACAUUGAUACUUUAGGGGGAGUAUGUUACCAUAAAGCACCAAUGCUGCAGCAAGCAAAGGCUUUAGCAGCUCAGCCAGCUGCUUGUGGCUGGAAAGCCAGACAGGAUGUUUGUGACUGUUGCCAUGGGAACAAAGGGGCAGUCCAUUCUGUACUGAGCACCGGAUGUUAGCUCAGUGUGUGUGUGUCAUAUGACCCGUACUGGAUGUACUUGGGAGGAGUUUUCCUCGCUGUUGUUGAGUGCAGACAUGAUUCUCUGUACUGAUGUAAGAGGCAGAAAUAAAUGAUGUAAAUAGUUUUCUGUCUGCUUCUUUCCCCUCCCUGGGGACACCAAAGGGGAGAGAGGAAGAACGGUGUGUUCCUCUCAUACAUCUGAGAAGAAUCGCCGGACCUCGCCUGCUUAUCAGCAGAGGUUGGGAGACGCGGGGAGGUCGACAGGAAUAUCUGCCGGUGCCUACGCUUGUGGCACAUUCCUCUGACCCAGGCAGAAUUCCAACAGGCCUCACCCCUUCCUUCUUCCUGUCAGGAACUUCCUUCCAUUUGUCUCCUCUCCAUCUUUUCCUCUUUCUCCCUCCACCAUCCAUCUAUCCCUGUCCCCAUCUCCUCUCCCCUGGAACUCACCAGAUUUCUCCAAGGGUCCUGGGAGGGUAUGCUCAGAGGUUGUGGGGAGGGAUGCGGGAGACAGCCUGACCAGGCCAACCGUCCAUCUUCCUCCUUCCAUCCUGGCCAGGGUUGCAGGUUCAGUCUCAGCUAGGUUUGCAGGUUCAGCUUCCUGAGGAGCGCAGAAUCCAGAGCAAGUUGCAGCUUCCUGGGAGGGAGGGAAGAAGAAGCCAAGGGAGUCUGAGAGCCCCUGCAGGGAUUCUCCUGCCCAAGACAUUCUGCUGCCCCUGGAGAAGCCCCAACUGGGCACCCCCUUCCCAAGAGCCCCCACCCAUUUUCAAACACCUUUGGCAAUUCCUUUCACCUGCUUGUCCCAUCUCCCUCUGGCACGGUAUGCACAUUAGAAGCUUGAGAUUAAGGGACUUCCGGGGGCGGCGCGAACAGCAAUGGCGGUCCUCUUCUGAACGGGAGAGGAGGCUCCACAGACAACGGGUCGUCCGCUACGGCGAAGCGGAGACCCACUCCGGAAAACCACAGGCAGCAAGAGCCUGUGGUCUUGAGGCUCGGUGGGCGCCUUAAGCGACCCUCCAAACGCUAAAGGAACCCCGUAAGGGGCUCCGGAGCGUGGAGGGGGGUUGCGGCGCUGAGAGCUGUUUCACAGUCUGCGGAGCGAAGCCGCGCUGCUGCUGCCGGUGAGCGCUGAUCCCUUUUCCUGUCAAAAUUCGGAUUCGGACGAAAAGCAACUUAUUCGUGAGUAAAGACUGAAUCACUUGAAAUUAGAGACUUUAAAUGAAAAAUCUCAAUUUGCUUGAACUUGGCUGAAAGCGGAGAGACGUGGAAACAGGAAGUCCGUCUUCCGCUGCCAUUGAACUUGAAAAAAGCAACUAGUUGGAGGAGUGGAGGCUGAAAGAAAGAGAUUUUAAACUUUACAGAUCUAAGCAUCCACUGAACUUGCAACCUAAAGUAAAGACUCUAAGUUAAAGAUUUGGAAUUAUUACUUGCACUUGACUUUCCUCCUUUUAUUGGAUUACAAUUAAAAGGUGAAACCCAGGGUCCGGAGCUGCCUGAGCAUUGAGAGAUUGAGCUGUCAGUACUGCAGAUUUGGAUAUUGUAUAUUGGAACUUGCAACAAUCUGAGGGUAUUGAGACCUUUUAAAUUUGAAACAUUCUUUUUGGAGACAAAUAAGCACUGUCUGUAACAAAGUGACUAUUUAUCAACUCUGCUAAAUAUUUGUAUCUGAAGGUUCUUGGAUACUAAAUUAGACUCUGAAAGACAUUUUAAGCUCCCUCUAGAGGAUUGGAUUAAAACAGUGUCUUUACAUUUACAUUUACUUUCGAUUCCCUUGUUGUUUGCUUGCUCUGGGCCUUUCUAUUCCCAUGGGAAAUAACUCAGUGUGACCUUGACUGAUAGAUAACGUUGGAAUGAGUGGCACAAGAAAAAGAGGGAGAGUUAGACAAACAACUUUAACAACUCUAACCUCAGCCUCGCAGACACGCAGAUCAUCUGUACCUACUUUGCCCUCAGAAGUAGAAGUUGAAGAAGUUGCCUUGUCACAGGCAAAAGAGGGAGAGGGUGAAGCAGAGCAGUUACAAUUGGAAGAUAUGGCCUCAGGAGCAUCUGUUUCUGUUCUAGACAAAAUCUUUGAAAAAUUGGAAGCUUUGGACAAGAAAGUAGAUGUGCAAUCAGCAAAGAUUGACAAAAAUACAGAAUGUCUAAAUAAAUUAACUAUACAAGUGGUACAGAAUACACAAGCAAUUGGACAGUUAACGGAGGCCUCAGCAGAAAAUCGGAAAUUGGCUGAGGAUACCAGACAAAAAUUGGAAAAUUUAGAGCAAGAGGUAAGACCACUCACCAAACAAGUUGGGGAACAUCAGAUUUAUCUUUCUAUGAUAGAACUGCGAAAUCGUGAGAAUAAUUUGAGGAUUAGAUCACUACAAGAGGCAGAAGAAGGAAAUCUAACUGAGUUUUUGACCAAAGAAUUCUCCAAGUUCUGGAAUUUGGAAGAAAAGGACUUUAAAAUUGCGUCAGCUUUCAGACUUGGAAGAUUCACAAAGAAGGAGAGGCCCAGAGACUGUUUGAUAACAUUGAGAUCAAAGGAGGAAAGGGACAAGAUUUUGGGCCUACACUACGGAAAGUCACUGGAGGUUUUGGAUAGAAGAAUUGAAAUUUACAAAGAUAUUCCAAGACAACUGUUGGAUCUUAGAGCCGCCUACUCUGAACUUGCUAAACUACUAAGGAGCAACGCAAUUCCAUUCAGGUGGGAAUUUCCCCAAGGAAUAUCUUUUACCUUUAGAGGGAGAAAGGUCAAAAUUAGAACAUUGGAAGAGAGAGACAAAUUUUUGGCUACACACGGAGAGGACCUUCAAAAAGGAAUUGAAUUACCUUCUGGGCCUGGGGCAACGCCAGCAUCAACACCAGCACCUGGGGAACCUGAAGAUCCAGAGAAGAUACCACCCCUGGAGAAAUAACCAGAUCAAUUCAGGAUGUCUCUGCAAUUGCUGAGUUGGAAUAUUAAUGGUUGUAACAUUCCGGAAAAAAGGAAGAAAAUAUUUCACAUACUAAAAAAAGAACAAUUGGACAUUAUCUGUCUACAAGAAACACAUGUGACGAGGCUCCACAGAAAAGUGUUAAUAAAUAAAAGAUUGGGCCAGGAAUUUGUAUCGUCGGAUAAAGUCAAGAAGAGAGGCGUGGUGAUAUAUGCAAAAGAGAGCCUGUCACCCAAAUUCUUAUUUAAAGAUGAACAUGGAAGAAUUUUGGCUAUUGAGAUACAAUAUCAAGGAGAGAAACUGUUGAUAUUAGGAAUCUAUGCACCUAAUGAAGGGAAAUCGGAAUUUUACAAGAAGCUGCAGGAGACAAUGCUGGAUUAUCUGGACUACAACAACAUCAUAAUGAUGGGAGAUAUGAAUGGGGUCGUAUCAACUAACAUGGACAAGUCACAAAGUCAAAAUGUUACAAAAGACGGCAGACUACCUAAAACCUUUUUUGAAAUGAUAGACAAUAUGGAUUUGAUUGAUGUUUGGAGGACAAAGAACCCACUAGGAAGAGAGGGAACAUUCUUUUCUGAAGCCCAACUGACCUGGACAAGAAUCGACCAAAUAUGGAUUUCUAGAGGCCUGGCACCUAAGGUCAGAAAAGUGGAAAUCUGCCCAAAGACCUGUUCCGACCAUAAUGCAGUAAAGAUGGAUAUGACAUUACUACCAACUGGAUCCUUUAGAUGGAAGAUGAAUGACAAUUUGUUCAGAGAUCAGGAAAUUACUAAGAAGGCCCAAAAAGUUUUGAAGGAUUAUUUUGAGAUAAAUAUGAAUACUACGGUGGAAAAAAGAAUCGUCUGGGACGCAAGCAAAGCUGUAAUGAGGGGAUUCUUGAUACAACAGAAUGCAGUAAAGAAAAGAACACAAAAUGAGAAAAAAGAUAAGAUCUUGG
This is a non-coding RNA of Podarcis lilfordi (Lilford's wall lizard), 7372 nucleotides long. The record is from the annotation of a GenBank genome assembly. Lineage: Eukaryota; Metazoa; Chordata; Lepidosauria; Squamata; Lacertidae.